Molecule: long non-coding RNA, 539 nt
Filed under: Androctonus crassicauda
Lineage: Eukaryota; Metazoa; Arthropoda; Arachnida; Scorpiones; Buthidae
Source: RNAcentral
UCAUGAUCAUGCUGUUAUUAAGUAUAAAACAGUAAUUUUGGACUUAUAUGAAUCUUUAAAAAUUAGUUAAACUCUUAAUUUUAUUUUCUCAAUAUCGUUUUGUCUUUUCAAUAAUUUUAAUUGAGAAAGUUCUGAUGAUGCUGAUGAUGGCAGUUCAAUGCUAUAAAAGUAAUCGAGUGCGGUAUUUGAGAAGCAAAGCCAGACAGGAAAAAAAGGGAACAUUUGUAGACGAAUCUUAAACAUAUUUACAGCAAGGGCGGAAGAAGCAUGGAAAGUAAAGGGUUAAAUGGGAGGCGUAAUCCACGGAUCACGUUGCUGGUUUCCAUUACAGUCACGUAUCUUCAAUUAUCUGGCCAAACUUGCCGGGGAGGAAGGGCAGAAAGACGAAUUAAUCUCAACCAGCUUUCUCUUGUCCCUUUUUUUCAGAGCCAAGAUCGUGUAUUUAAUCCGUGUGAAGUGAUAAAGUUUCUUUUAUUAAGUGAUUUAUGUUGCGUUGUUAUAAUUGCUUUACUUCUCGUCUACAAAUAGAAGGAACGGAU